Ictalurus furcatus (blue catfish) is the source of this 1082-nucleotide non-coding RNA. NCBI's taxonomy places the organism in Eukaryota, Metazoa, Chordata, Actinopteri, Siluriformes, Ictaluridae. The record is from the annotation of a RefSeq genome assembly.
GUCAUGAAGGAGCUCAAACUGGAAUUUUGGUAAAAUGAAGAAAUCAAAGUACAACAGACACUUAGCUUCAUACAAACAGACUGAUUUAGCGUUUAACCAGAGAGAGAGAGAGAGAGAGAGAGAGAGAGAGAGAGCAGUGAGGUGUAACUGAGAUUUGCAUUAACAGGACUGAAGAGUUUCAUUUCUCCCAGAAUAGCAAUUGCCAGUCCAUGCUUCAGUGCUCUGCGAGUGUUUAUAGCCCUGUGACUUUAACACUUCAUGACUGAGAGCUGCUGCUCAGCAACUUCACCCACAGCAACCAUGACUUUGAUCAGUGUCUUCAUCUGCACACUGGCCCUCUGGACUCAAGGAUCCAGAGGUCAGGUGACUGUGACUCAGACUCCUUCAGUGCAAACUGCUGAUCCAGGAAACACAGUCACCCUCAACUGUAGAACCAGUAGCAGUGUGCAUGGUGGUAGCUAUCUCGCCUGGUACCUGCAGAAACCUGGAGAAGCUCCUAAACUCCUGAUCUACUUGGCUACUACUUUACAGUCAGGGACUCCAGCUCGUUUCAGUGGCAGUGGAUCUAAUACUGACUUCACUCUGACCAUCAGAGGAGUCCAGACUGAAGAUGCAGGAGAUUACUACUGUCAGAGUUUACAUCAGAUCAGUGGUAGCUGGGUGUUCACACAGUGUUAGAGCGCCGUACAAAAACCUCGGUCAGUGAGAGUGCACAGAGAAGCACUGCUGCAGCUGGGAGCGACUGCAGGUGCUGAGGGGGAGGAUGUGAUACAGCACAAUGACACACACUGUGGACGAGAGAAAACACACCACACUAACUCACUAAUGCACACACACAUCUGUGAGAGGAGUCCACCUUUCUCAGCUGUGGACAUACAAACUAUUCCUCAUCAUUCUCUUUCACUGCUUAGUAAUUAUCUUUAUCCUAAUUUAGAAAGUUAAAGAAAGUAUUUAUUAUAUUUAUAUUUUGUUACAUAUAUGAUUUACCAAAAGAGUUCUUUAUGGUUAAUAUCAAACACUAUUAUAGAGUUAAUAUUUUAUUAUAUAAUUUUAAUGUUCAUUAAAUAGAGCCACUUUAUAGA